GACGAACGCUGGCGGCGUGCUUAACACAUGCAAGUCGAACGGAAAGGCCCUGCUUUUGUGGGGUGCUCGAGUGGCGAACGGGUGAGUAACACGUGAGUAACCUGCCCUUGACUUUGGGAUAACUUCAGGAAACUGGGGCUAAUACCGGAUAGGAGCUCCUGCUGCAUGGUGGGGGUUGGAAAGUUUCGGCGGUUGGGGAUGGAUUCGCGGCUUAUCAGCUUGUUGGUGGGGUAGUGGCUUACCAAGGCUUUGACGGGUAGCCGGCCUGAGAGGGUGACCGGCCACAUUGGGACUGAGAUACGGCCCAGACUCCUACGGGAGGCAGCAGUGGGGAAUAUUGCACAAUGGGCGGAAGCCUGAUGCAGCAACGCCGCGUGCGGGAUGACGGCCUUCGGGUUGUAAACCGCUUUCGCCUGUGACGAAGCGGGAGUGACGGUAAUGGGUAAAGAAGCACCGGCUAACUACGUG
RNAcentral lists this ribosomal RNA (468 nucleotides) under uncultured bacterium. RNAcentral describes it as "partial 16S ribosomal RNA". It matches the Rfam family "Bacterial small subunit ribosomal RNA", at positions 28 to 507 of the family's 1533-position model. The record is from RNAcentral.